This 470-nucleotide long non-coding RNA is filed under the name Olea europaea subsp. europaea. Lineage: Eukaryota; Viridiplantae; Streptophyta; Magnoliopsida; Lamiales; Oleaceae. The record is from RNAcentral.
AAGCAAUGUAAAUCUAUUCCUAAAUAAUGUUAAACUUCUCGACCUAAGAUUCCAAGGAUGGUCAAAUGAAGAUCAUUUUUCUUUGAGAAAAUUGUGAAACAGAGGAAUCGAAAUAUAAGAUGAGGCAAUGAAAGUGAUUCUAAAAGAAGCAUUUGGGGAUUCAUUCAAUAACUAUUGGGAAUUGGGUAAUUCAAGUAAUGGAUUCGGAAAGUUUCAAUUGAUUUUUGGGGAAGCAUUUGUAAGUUGCCCAAUUUCCCUUGCCUCUAAAUUCAUUGUUGUUGAGGAGUGGAGAUUCGAAUUCAAUCAAUUUCUUAUUUGUAGGUGGAUUGUGUAUCAAGCAACUUCAGUAAGAAAUUUAUUUGUUGAACCAUUUAUGUGUUAAUUUGCUAUCUGAUGAACUUCUGACAUUUUGAAACAUGACUUCAAAAUGUUGCUCCUUUUGAAUUGUAACUUAGAUUAAUGCAAUGAGA